RNAcentral lists this ribosomal RNA (513 nucleotides) under uncultured Fusarium. RNAcentral describes it as "eukaryotic LSU rRNA". The stretch from base 162 to 315 matches the Rfam family "5.8S ribosomal RNA". The record is from RNAcentral. Lineage: Eukaryota; Fungi; Ascomycota; Sordariomycetes; Hypocreales; Nectriaceae.
GGAGGGAUCAUUACCGAGUUUACAACUCCCAAACCCCUGUGAACAUACCUUAUGUUGCCUCGGCGGAUCAGCCCGCGCCCCGUAAAAAGGGACGGCCCGCCGCAGGAACCCUAAACUCUGUUUUUAGUGGAACUUCUGAGUAUAAAAAACAAAUAAAUCAAAACUUUCAACAACGGAUCUCUUGGUUCUGGCAUCGAUGAAGAACGCAGCAAAAUGCGAUAAGUAAUGUGAAUUGCAGAAUUCAGUGAAUCAUCGAAUCUUUGAACGCACAUUGCGCCCGCCAGUAUUCUGGCGGGCAUGCCUGUUCGAGCGUCAUUUCAACCCUCAAGCCCAGCUUGGUGUUGGGAGCUGCAGUCCUGCUGCACUCCCCAAAUACAUUGGCGGUCACGUCGAGCUUCCAUAGCGUAGUAAUUUACACAUCGUUACUGGUAAUCGUCGCGGCCACGCCGUUAAACCCCAACUUCUGAAUGUUGACCUCGGAUCAGGUAGGAAUACCCGCUGAACUUAAGCAUA